Molecule: long non-coding RNA, 841 nt
Organism: Callithrix jacchus (white-tufted-ear marmoset)
Lineage: Eukaryota; Metazoa; Chordata; Mammalia; Primates; Cebidae
Source: Ensembl
GUCAUGGACAGCAAGGAGGAGCAAGUCACAUCUCUUGAAUGGCAGCAGGCCAAGAGAGAGCCUGUGCAGAGAAACUCCCGCUUUCAAAACCAUCAGAUCUUGUGAGACCCAUUAAAUAUCAGGAGAACAGCAGGGGAAAAACAUGCCCCCAUGAUUCAAUCAUCUCUCACUGAAUUCCUCUCACAACACAUGGGAAUAUGGGAGCUACAAGAUGAGAUUUGUAUGGGGACACAGAGACAAAUCAUAUCAUCAGCCCGUGAUUCAUUUCUGCAUUUCAGGUGCUGAACCUGUGGAUAGACGGUCAACUAUACAGAGAUUUCCCAUGUACUCGCUGCCCCUAUGCAUGCAUCUCCAGCUGAAGUAAUACAUGUGUUACAAAAUCCUUCAUGCCUUCUGUUUCUGGGAUACACAUACCCAAUGCCACCUUACAUUUCCCCUACUCAAAGAAACUUUGGACAAGAGAAAAGGAAAAGACUAUUUUUAGAAAAAGAAAUUCUUGGCUACAAGGAGACCCUCUGCUCAAGCUACUGAUCUGUAUCUGCAUAAGAUAUAUAAAAGAUCAUUUGUAACUUCAAGUUACAAAGAAGAUUAGAAAACUGAGCAACUCCCAGGUUUUCUUUUCAUUUUUUUCUUCUUACAUACAGAUUAAAGGUAAAAUAAAAGCAUUAAAUCAAAAUGUGUCUGAGGUCUUCAUUUUGUGCUAUAGAUUUUGUUACGUGAUAGUUGUAUUUCCAUAUAAAAAGGUGUACUUACUGAAAUAAAAGAAGAAACCUAUAAUUAUGAGAGGAUGUCACUUAGAGUGUGGUUCCACAGCAAGGAAUAUUAGGAAAAAUAUUUCAAC